Molecule: non-coding RNA, 838 nt
Organism: Paramisgurnus dabryanus
Lineage: Eukaryota; Metazoa; Chordata; Actinopteri; Cypriniformes; Cobitidae
Source: RefSeq, a predicted model, not a curated record
AGAAAUGGAUUUAGAUGAAUAUCUGUUAGAGGAAGAUCUCUACUGUUGUGUAUAUAAGAAGAUGUUCAGAUGAUAUUCUUCACACAUCAAUCUCUCAUCCAACUCUGAGAUCUUGAAGCUCAACACAACUUCUCCAGGAUUCAUUUCUUCACAUCAUCUAAAACAAUGAGACAUCUGAUGGCUUUGAUGUUUCUGGUGAUCUUCUGCUCUCUGCAGCUGACUUCAAGUGCCCCAGAAGCCUCUAAUGCGGCAAAAUCAAUAUGCUGUGUUAAGUUCAGCAAUGCAAUGAUUCCUCUGAGACUGGUGAAGUCGUACUAUAGGACCGACAGCAGCUGCCCCAAACCAGCCAUUGUGUUUCAGACUGACAAAAGAGAGAUCUGUGUAGAUCCAGAAACCAGCUGGGUGAACCACCACAUCGCUAAAGUGGAUAUGAAAACUAGCACAACAACUACAAUUACUACAGUAUAAAAACCUAAACCAACACGGUCUUAAUAAUCUGUUUAAGCUAAACAUCUGAUCUAACAUUGUACAUACUGUAUACUUUACUCCUACUAUAGGUUCUUAUUUGGAAAUAUAUUUUUACUAAAUAUUUUACUAAAUAAAAUAUAUAUUUUGCAUUUUAUACUCUUUUUAAUAAAUAUUUGAUAAUAAAUAAAUCCUUGUGUAGGGAAAUUUUUCCCUUUAUAUUUCAUCCAUAAAAGUGAAUCCAGCAAGCUCAAGCCAGUGUGUAACUCAUGUAAUAUUGCUCAGCAAUGAACUGCAUAAAUGUGUAGAUUGUAUUACUUUAACUAGAUUGCAUCAUUAAAGUUAUUAAUAACUGCCCUCAUGAGCAACAAAU